This is a long non-coding RNA of Oreochromis niloticus (Nile tilapia), 1618 nucleotides long. RefSeq annotates it as serine protease 27. The record is from RefSeq and is a predicted model, not a curated record. NCBI's taxonomy places the organism in Eukaryota, Metazoa, Chordata, Actinopteri, Cichliformes, Cichlidae. The transcript has 6 exons.
ACAUUGAAGCGUCAGUGAGUCAGGCUGGGGGUGGAGCUGAACACAAGAUUUACAGUAUUUAACACCUAAAGCGAAAUUAUAGCCAGCGUAGUCAACAAUGGCCCUCCAAUGGUUCCUGUGCUUUUUCUCUGUGAUGAUCAUUCUUUUUGGCAAAGAUGUUCAUUCACAGCAGCCUGAAUGUGGCAGGGUUAAUAAAAAUGGCAGAAUCGUAGGAGGUGAAGCUGCAACCCCUGGAAGUUGGCCCUGGCAGGCAUCUUUAUCCAAUAAUGGCUUUUUUUUCUGUGGAGGGUCUCUAAUCUCCAACCAGUGGGUGCUGACAGCUGCUCACUGCAUUACACCUGCUGAUCUUUCCACCACAGCCGUGACUCUGGGCCACAACACUGCGUCUGGUCCAAAUCCAAAUAAAGUGACUGUGGACCUUGCAGACAUCAUCUGCCAUCCCGACUACAACAAUUCAACAUAUGAGAACGACAUGUGCCUCCUGAAGCUGUCGGCUCCUGUGAAUUUCACAGACUACAUUCAGCCAGUCUGCUUAGCCUCAGCAGGCAGCACUUUCAACAAUGGGACCAGCAGCUGGGUCACUGGCUUUGGUACCCUAUAUAGUGGUGGCCCCACCUCAGACACUCUGCAGGAGGUGAAUGUACCAAUUGUGGGAAACAAUGAGUGCAAAUGUGACUUACAAAACUUCAAGCAAAUCACAGAUAACAUGAUCUGUGCUGGACUGAAAGAGGGCGGGAAGGAUUCAUGUCAGGGAGACUCGGGGGGACCACUCGUGACAAAAAACGAUAUGGGCAUCUGGAUCCAGAGUGGAGUUGUGAGUUUUGGUGAUGGCUGCGCCCUGCCUAAUAAACCUGGAGUCUACGCUCGUGUGUCCCAGUACCAAAACUGGAUCAGCACCACCGUCACCGGAACACCACCAGGCUUUGUUACCUACACCUCCAUGGGCUUUGACUUUGACUUAUUCUUCAACUGCCCCACAUCAACACCAAUCACUGGUUCUACCGAUUACCCACCCCCCAACCCCCCAUGUGACAGUGAGAGUUUGUUUUGCAGUGGUGAAAACCUGAUCCACUUCACUCACUUCACCUCUCUCUGUGUUCUUGUUGUGUUGCUCCAAGUGUUUUUUGGCAGUGGUGGAAUGUAACUCAACACAUUUCAAGUCCUGUACUUAAGUACUAACUUGAAAUAAUCAUUACUCCAAUAGAUUUAUGGGGCAGCUUAAGUUUCUGGGCACUUCACAAGGGAAACGAAACAGUUAUUAGUAAAAAUUAGACUAAUUGUUGAUCAUGUAAGAAGAAGAAUUGGACGGUUUAAAUAUUCGGACAUGAAAGAUUUCUUUACAAAUCUGAAAAUAGCAACAAUUUUUUAUCUUCUGUUUCUCAAUUACAGUGAUUUGCUAAUCUUUAUCUGAUGUAUUUUCAUGACUUCAGUAAAACUGCACCCUGGCAAAUUUAAAUUAAUACAUUUUAAACAUUAUUUAGUAAUUCUCUUUAAAUGUUAUCAUGUUACAUAUGGGCAUUUGUCUGUGGUAUGCUCACAGUUUGAUUAAAUUCUAUUCAAAUCUUGUUUUGGUAUCCUGACACUUUUGAUGAUUAAAGCAUGCAAUUUUAAAAUACAA